CUCGUAGGCGGUUCGUCACGUCGUCUGUGAAAUCCUAGGGCUUAACCCUGGACGUGCAGGCGAUACGGGCUGACUUGAGUACUACAGGGGAGACUGGAAUUUCUGGUGUAGCGGUGGAAUGCACAGAUAUCAGGAAGAACACCGAUGGCGAAGGCAGGUCUCUGGGUAGUAACUGACGCUGAGGAGCGAAAGCAUGGGUAGCGAACA
This 207-nucleotide ribosomal RNA is filed under the name uncultured bacterium. RNAcentral's name for it is "partial 16S ribosomal RNA". It matches the Rfam family "Bacterial small subunit ribosomal RNA", at positions 568 to 774 of the family's 1533-position model. The record is from RNAcentral.